RNAcentral lists this ribosomal RNA (243 nucleotides) under uncultured bacterium. Its description in RNAcentral is "partial 16S ribosomal RNA". It matches the Rfam family "Bacterial small subunit ribosomal RNA", at positions 528 to 770 of the family's 1533-position model. The record is from RNAcentral.
AACCGUGCGAACGUUGUUCGGAAUCACUGGGCUUAAAGGGCGCGUAGGCGGUUGAUCAAGUCUGGGGUGAAAUCUUUCGGCUUAACCGGAAAAGUGCCUUGGAUACUGGUCAGCUGGAGGGAGGUAGGGGCAGUUGGAACUUCCAGUGGAGCGGUGAAAUGCGUUGAUAUUGGAAGGAACGCCGGUGGCGAAAGCGAGCUGCUGGACCUCUUCUGACGCUGAUGCGCGAAAGCUAGGGGAGCA